GAUGAACGCUAGCGGGAGGCUUAACACAUGCAAGUCGAGGGGCAGCAUAGGGUAGCAAUACUCUGAUGGCGACCGGCAAACGGGUGAGUAACGCGUAUGCAACCUACCCUGUACAGGGGGAUAACCCGGAGAAAUUCGGACUAAUAUCCCGUAAUAAUAUCCGGAGGCAUCUUUGGAUAUUUAAAGUUCCGACGGUACGGGAUGGGCAUGCGUAACAUUAACUGGUUGGUAAGGUAACGGCUUACCAAGGCUAUGAUGUUUAGGGGUCCUGAGAGGGUGGUCCCCCACACUGGUACUGAGACACGGACCAGACUCCUACGGGAGGCAGCAGUGAGGAAUAUUGGUCAAUGGGCGCAAGCCUGAACCAGCCAUCCCGCGUGCAGGAAGACGGCCCUAUGGGUUGUAAACUGCUUUUCCAGGGAGAGAAACUUACGCACGUGUUGCGUGACUGACGGUACCCUGGGAAUAAGCAUCGGCUAACUCCGUGCCAGCAGCCGCGGUAAACACGAGAGUAA
Molecule: ribosomal RNA, 515 nt
Filed under: uncultured bacterium
Lineage: Bacteria
Description: bacterial SSU rRNA
Rfam family: Bacterial small subunit ribosomal RNA
Source: RNAcentral